CGUAGGGUGCGAGCGUUAAUCGGAAUUACUGGGCGUAAAGCGUGCGCAGGCGGUUAUGCAAGACAGAUGUGAAAUCCCCGGGCUCAACCUGGGAACUGCAUUUGUGACUGCAUGGCUAGAGUGCGGCAGAGGGGGAUGGAAUUCCGCGUGUAGCAGUGAAAUGCGUAGAUAUGCGGAGGAACACCGAUGGCGAAGGCAAUCCCCUGGGCCUGCACUGACGCUCAUGCACGAAAGCGUGGGGAGCAAACAGGAUUAGAUACCCUGAUAGUCCACGCCCUAAACGAUGUCAACUGGUUGUUGGGAAGGUUCCUUCUCAGUAACGUAGCUAACGCGUGAAGUUGACCGCCGUGGGGAGUACGGCCGCAAGGUUG
This 371-nucleotide ribosomal RNA is filed under the name uncultured organism. RNAcentral describes it as "bacterial SSU rRNA". It matches the Rfam family "Bacterial small subunit ribosomal RNA", at positions 526 to 896 of the family's 1533-position model. The record is from RNAcentral.